CUCUCGCUUGGACAACUCUUGCCCCAGGAAUCCCUGAAACGGGUCUCGGCUACGCGCUCGCACGUCGCACCGCACCGCAGGAGUACGGCGCUUGCUUAAACCCCUCUUCGGCUUCCUCCCACUCCCCACUUGCCGUGCGCUUCCACCCGCCGGUCCCCAUGGCGCCCAAGGUUCUCAUGGUCGCGGAGAAGCCCAGCAUCGCGCUCUCCAUCGCCUCCGCCCUCUCCGGUGGCCGCAUGUCUACAAGGAAGGGAAGCACAGAUGUCCAUGAGUUUGAUGGGAUGUUUCAGGGUUCUUAUGCAAAUUUCAAAGUGACAUCAGUCAUUGGACAUGUCUUAAGUGUAGAUUUCCCCCCUGCAUAUCAGAACUGGGAAGGAACUGAUCCAAUGGACCUAUUUGAGGCUCCAGUUCUGAGAUCUGAAUGCAACCCAAAGGCUCAUAUCCGCAGGCAUCUAGCUCAAGAAGCUCGGGGCUGCGCUUAUUUGAUACUUUGGCUGGACUGUGACCGAGAAGGAGAAAACAUAUGCUAUGAAGUUAUAGAGUGCACUGGGAUUCCUGAAAAUGAGGCUGGCAGAAGAAUUUUCCGUGCUAGAUUUUCAUCUGUUACUGAGAAGGACAUACUGAGUGCCAUGGAUAAUCUAGAUCUGCCAAACAAAGAUGAAGCAUUAUCAGUGGAUGCUCGCCAAGAAAUUGACUUGAAGGUUGGAGUAGCAUUUACUCGAUUUCAGACCCGAUAUUUCCAGGGAAAAUAUGGAAACCUUGAUUCAAGAGUGAUUUCGUAUGGUCCAUGCCAGACACCUACUCUGGGAUUCUGUGUGCAACGUUAUCAGCAAAUCACCACAUUCAAACCAGAGAAAUUCUGGUCCUUGAAGACUUAUAUUAUCAGAGAUGGUGAUGAAAUACAGCUAGAAUGGGACCGGAAGAAACUUUUUGAUUUUGAUGUUACUGUGAUGUUUCAGAAGAUGGUCGCCGGCGAUGGGACUCUAAAAAUAGCAGAUGUCUCAGUGAAGGAAGAGUGCAAAACCCGUCCAUCAGGCCUUAAUACAGUUAAUAUGCUUAAGGUUGCAUCAAGUGCGCUCGGUAUUGGACCUCAGACAGCGAUGCAUUUGGCGGAGCGGCUUUACACUCAAGGAUUCAUCAGUUAUCCACGUACAGAGAGUACUGCAUAUCCAGCGUCAUUUGGUUUUCGUAGUGCACUUGCUGGACUAGUACAUAAUCCUCUAUGGUCCAAUGAUGUCCGGACAUUACUGGAUGCUGGUUUUGUUAAGCCUCGUCAAGGUCUUGAUGCUGGGGACCAUCCUCCUAUUACUCCAAUGAGAUCAGCGACAGAAGAAGGUCUGGGAACUGAUGCUUGGAGGCUGUACCAAUACAUAUGCCAACACUUCAUUGGAACUGUUAGUCCUGAUUGUACUUAUACAGGAAUUCAACAGUAAGUAACCCUUCAAAAAAACAUGAUUCUCAGGACUGCCAUUGAGUUUACUUCAGGUGGAGAAACUUUCCACUGUGUUGGCUAUCGAGUCACUCAUAAAGGAUUUACCUCUAUCAUGCCAUGGCUGGCUGUCAGCGAGAAUAAUCUUCCUGCAUUUAGAAAGGGAGACUCUGUUAGUAUUCAUAAGGUUGACAUAUAUGAGGGAAGCACCACACCUCCUGAUUAUCUCAGUGAAAGUGAAUUGAUCUCUCUCAUGGAGAAGAAUGGCAUAGGUACAGACGCAUCAAUUCCUGUACAUAUAAACAACAUUUGUGAACGUAAUUAUGUUCAGGUGAACUCCGGAAGAAGGUUAGUACCGACACCACUGGGGACUACAUUGAUAAGAGGAUAUCAGUGUAUUGAUGCUGAUCUGUGCUUGCCAGAUAUCAGAAGCUUUAUUGAGCAACAGAUUACUCUAAUUGCAAAAGGCAAAGCUGAUCACCUUCAAGUUAUUCAACAUGUUAUUCAGCAAUUUAUGAAAAAGUACUCUUACUUUGUGAAAAAGAUUGAAAACAUGGAUGCUUUGUUCGAAGCACAAUUUUCACCUUUGGCAGACUCUGGGCGCUUACUGAGCAAGUGCGGAAAAUGUGGUCGGUAUAUGAAAUACAUGUCGACUCAGCCAAUGAGAUUGUAUUGUAUAACCUGUGAGGAUGUCUAUUAUCUUCCUCAGAACGGUUCGAUUAAGCUGUACAAGGAAAUCAUAUGCCCUCUUGAUGGUUUCGAGUUGCUUCUGUUCUCGAUGGUGGGACCUGAUGCAAAAUCUUUCCCGCUGUGUCCUUUUUGCUAUACUAAUCCUCCAUUUGAAGGCAUAGACAAACUCUUUGGUGCCCUCAAGAUAGAUGACACCGGCAAGGUUGGGAAAGGGGCUGGGAUGCCGUGUUCCCUUUGCCCGCACCCAACAUGCAAGCAAUCUAUGAUCACUCAAGGAGUUUGUGCAUGUCCUGAGUGUAGUGGUACCUUGAUUCUUGAUCCAGUUAGUGCACCCAAAUGGCAGCUUUACUGCAACAUGUGUAAUUGCAUUGUAUUGCUCCCACAUGCUGCCCAUAGGAUCACCACUACAGAUAAAAAGUGCCUAACAUGUGAGUCCACUAUCAUUGAAGUUGAUUUCAACAAGAAAACUACCCCUCUUCAAGAUGGAGCUACAUUGCAUGAGGGUUGUAUCUUGUGUGAUGAUCUGUUGCAUUCACUCAUUGAAAUGAAGCAUGGGCAGUCAUUCUUCAUGUGGAGAGGUAGAGGGAGAGGGAGAGGGAGGGGCCGGGGCAGAGGAAGUAACCGCGCUAGGGGAAGACGUGGGAACUCAAGGUAUGAUGAUCCUAAAAUGAGCUUCAGAGAUUUUUGAAGAUUUUGGGACUUCUACAGUGGCCAGCUAGUCUGUGAGCCUGCUAAAAUGAGCUUCAGAGAGUUUUGAAGAUUUUGGAUUUCAACAUUGGUCACUACUCUGUUGUCUCGAGCCCCUUCACCCACCAACUGAAGGUGGCCGCUUAAAAAUUCGCUUCGAGUUCAAGGAAAAUGAGCAGAGAACAACCCAAACUAACCUUGUGAACCCUAACGAAUGAAGGGUCGUAUUAACAGAACCAAUUCCUCUGGUAGCUCGUUUGCUUUGUAGAGGGAGCAAAGCAUUUGAUUGGAACCCAAAAACCAGGCAGGAAACAGGGAAGGGGUGUCUUGUGGAUGACUGCUGACAGGAACAGGUGGGAUCUGAUACCUUUAUUGAGUGAACUCAGUGGUGCAAGUCUUUGCUCGUAUUGUAUUAAUUAAUGUGCUGUAAAUCACACUGACAAAAAUGGGAUUAAUAUGAACUUAGUUCGAUCAUAGUUACUGA
Molecule: RNA transcript, 3290 nt
Organism: Panicum virgatum (switchgrass)
Lineage: Eukaryota; Viridiplantae; Streptophyta; Magnoliopsida; Poales; Poaceae
Gene name: DNA topoisomerase 3-beta-like
Exons: 16
Source: RefSeq, a predicted model, not a curated record